Podarcis lilfordi (Lilford's wall lizard) is the source of this 71-nucleotide non-coding RNA. NCBI's taxonomy places the organism in Eukaryota, Metazoa, Chordata, Lepidosauria, Squamata, Lacertidae. The record is from the annotation of a GenBank genome assembly.
GGGCUGUAGCUUAGUGGAACAGCAUGUGCUUUGCAGGCAGAAGGUCCCAUGUUUAAGCCCUGGCAUGCCCA